CCUGGCGGCACUAGCGCGGUGGUCCCACCUGCCCCCAUGCCGAACUCAGAAGUGAAACGCCGUAGCGCCGAUGGUAGUGUGGGGUCUCCCCAUGUGAGAGUAGGGAACUGCCAGGC
Molecule: ribosomal RNA, 116 nt
Filed under: Klebsiella pneumoniae
Lineage: Bacteria; Pseudomonadati; Pseudomonadota; Gammaproteobacteria; Enterobacterales; Enterobacteriaceae
Source: RNAcentral